Long non-coding RNA from Gymnodraco acuticeps, 1084 nucleotides. RefSeq lists it as uncharacterized. The transcript is spliced from 3 exons. NCBI's taxonomy places the organism in Eukaryota, Metazoa, Chordata, Actinopteri, Perciformes, Bathydraconidae. The record is from RefSeq and is a predicted model, not a curated record.
CUUCGGUCGAUUUUGGCAGCAUCUACGUCUAUCUUCUAGAAACACCAGGAAGACAAGUCUUGUUUUAAUUUAGUUUGAAUUCAUGGCAAUUCAUGCUGAGUGUGGAUCGAAACAUAGUACAGGACAACAUCCCCUCCUUGGUUUCUGCCCUGUCCAUGAUGUUUGGGAGCUAUUACUGCUUCAACAUCGCCUACCCGUCAGAGCUGGCAUCCACCCUGGAGUUUGUCCAGAGGUGUUUUUUCUCCAUCAACCCAGAGAAGGGUACCAAAGUGGAGAAGACAUGCGCAUCCCGUCUUCAGGUGAACCCGAGAGUCCUCACCUUGAUACAGGAACUUUCGGACCAUGAGUGGCGUGAUGUCUGAAUAUUAGUUACAGUCUGUUUGAUUGUUUAAAUCAUAGUUAACAUUGGGAAGUGCCUUUUUUUUAUGUUCUUUUAACUCAUUUAAAAAAAUGCAAUAUGUAACUCUCAAAAUGUCAAACUAUUCUUUUAAGGUCAUUGUAGCCACUCUUGCGGUUUGCUGUUACAAAGUGAAGUUGCUUAAACAAUCUUCAUUUGGCUUAUGUGGAUGUAAAAGCUCAGGACAUUACUGUUGAGUGUAAAAAUGUUGACGUGUUUUGUUUUCCACUUGGGUUUUUGCUUCUGAAGUGAAGGGUCUCUGCUGACCCUACCUCUUCACCUAUCUCACUUAGACACACACUCACAUGUGUUUUGCAACUGUAGCUUCAUCACGUACACACUUCCUUUAGCAAUGAACAUGUAUUCAACUAAGACAAUCCCUUAUUUUGGCUAAGUUACAGCUCAGUCUGUGGCUGUGACAGUCGAGUAUUAUAUUAUACAGGUGCCCACUAUAAGAGAUGAGACAUAUAAAGUACUAAAAUAUUUAAAAACAUUAUUUCCCAUAAAUCAUUUGAUGUGAUGUAAGUAACCUCUCAACUUUGUUCAGCUUGAAUUUCCUGGACAAUGUGAGCUGUUUGUUUAUUGUGCAGCCUUAGUUUGUAUGUUUUACCAAUAUGUAUGUUGAGAAAUGACAGAUGUUUUUGAACACUGCUAUUAUAUAUAUAUAAUAAAUUCUUGGAAAGGCAA